Molecule: ribosomal RNA, 395 nt
Filed under: uncultured bacterium
Lineage: Bacteria
Description: bacterial SSU rRNA
Rfam family: Bacterial small subunit ribosomal RNA
Source: RNAcentral
UAUUGGACAAUGGGCGAAAGCCUGAUCCAGCAAUGCCGCGUGAGUGAUGAAGGCCUUCGGGUUGUAAAACUCUUUCAGUAGGGAAGAUAAUGACGGUACCUACAGAAGAAGCCCCGGCUAACUUCGUGCCAGCAGCCGCGGUAAUACGAAGGGGGCUAGCGUUGUUCGGAAUUACUGGGCGUAAAGCGCGCGCAGGCGGUUUGUAAAGUUGAGAGUGAAAUCCCGGGGCUUAACCUCGGAAUUGCUUUCAAAACUCACAGACUAGAGUAUGGUAGAGGAUAGUGGAAUUCCUAGUGUAGAGGUGAAAUUCGUAGAUAUUAGGAGGAACACCAGUGGCGAAGGCGACUGUCUGGGCCAUUACUGACGCUGAGGCGCGAAAGCGUGGGGAGCAAACA